GGCGCGGAAGUGCGUGUGGCAAAACACCCGACUCCCCGUUCGUCCUGGCCGUCAGAUUAAAAUCGGGGGGCCCACACUGGGCAGCGCACCAACUGGCGCCGCCGCCGGAGAGCGCUCCGUCGUCGGCGGCACACCGUCUCCCGUUCGUCCCGCGCCUUCCGUUCCCUGACGGAAGCGGCGGCAUGGUCGCCAGUCGCCACGCGCUCGCCGUAGGAGCAGGAGCAGCGACUGCGGGCCAGCCAGCCUCCGGAUGGGUAGCUGUUCUGCGCAACAGCUGAAGGAGCGCGGAGGGAGAAGCAAGGGACCAAACAGGAGGCGAGGGGAAUCGGAGGCGGUACGGCUGAUGAGCGGGUACCUGUUCUACAAUAGUGGUUGCCUCAGACACGAAAGAUGUUCUUGUGACGGACAUGUGAAUCAUCAUUUUGGCAUAAUAUGCUCCGACCAUGAGGAGCAUAGGUACAACUAGCAAAGAGAGCAGGCCAACCUCCCAACAGCACGCAAAGGCAACAAUGAUAGCAACUAAAAACGUGGAGAAGUUUGACAUAAAGUGACCCAUCUGAAGAAAAUAGUAAGCCUUAAGAUUGGUUAUCAUCGAGCAAAUUUUUGGUACUUCUCUUUGGGUUAGUGACUCUUGCAGUGAUAUACUAGAAGGAAAAUUAAUACCUUUUCACCAAUUGCAUCUUGUAUGACAUUCAUGUGGUUGGUUGCCCCAGCUAUGAUAUUUGCAGUGGUUAAGUCAGUGUCGAAAGCUCCAA
Molecule: long non-coding RNA, 755 nt
Organism: Sorghum bicolor (sorghum)
Lineage: Eukaryota; Viridiplantae; Streptophyta; Magnoliopsida; Poales; Poaceae
Exons: 2
Source: RefSeq, a predicted model, not a curated record